RNAcentral lists this long non-coding RNA (770 nucleotides) under Heterocephalus glaber (naked mole-rat). RNAcentral describes it as "lncRNA (ENSHGLG00100034149.1)". Lineage: Eukaryota; Metazoa; Chordata; Mammalia; Rodentia; Bathyergidae. The record is from RNAcentral.
ACGGCCUGGCGCGACCUGGGUGGUCCCGGGCUGCGCGAUCUGCUGCGACCUGAGUUAUUGUGCCGGCCCUGUUUGUCAGAGCCCAGGGAAGAGCAGGAACAACGAAAUAUUCUGGGGCCGGAUAGUUGAUAGCUGUCUUUUAUUUAAAAUAAUUUUCACACGGAGGACUUAAGUACUUCAGAAAAACACAUCUAAGGGAAGCCAACCUAGACUUCUCGAGGUGAAUGUUCCUUGGAGAUGAAGAAUAGCUCAGACCUGAGAAUCCAGAGGACAUGGCUGGAAUUUGGCCAAUGACAAUCCUGUGGAUGGGACAAAGUCAACCCUCACCUCUCAUUUCUUUGAGCUCAUUGUUUAGCUUCCUAACAGUGGUGACAAAGAAAAAGCACAAAUUAUAUUGCGUGGUGGAAAGGAAUAAAGGCAUGAAGCUAGCAACUAUCUACAGUAUGGAAGGGAAAACAGAGAAAGAGUAAAAGGAGAGUGGAGGAGGAGGAAAGAACAAGAGAGAAAAGAGGAAAAGGAGAAAGAGAAAAGGGCCCAUGGUAAGGAUGCAAUUUUUAUUUGUCCACCAGAGGGCGGUAUGUCAACUGAUGAGAAUAGAGGCCAGAAUGAAAGAUUUUUAUUGACUAUCUACAGGUGUUACUUUUUAAAUGAAGUAUUCUAUUAUAAUUCAUUUUUAAAGUGUGUUUAUGGUGAAUUAUUAUUUUGUAAACAUUCCUCACUUUAUAAAAUGGCUCAGUACAUUUCAAAGUACAAAAACAUUUGUAAAUGGG